CCUACGGGUGGCAGCAGUGAGGAAUAUUGGUCAAUGGGCGAGAGCCUGAACCAGCCAAGUCGCGUGAAGGAUGACGGCCCUACGGGUUGUAAACUUCUUUUGUCAGGGAGCAAUUGAGUCCACGUGUGGUCUUAGCGAGAGUACCUGAAGAAAAAGCAUCGGCUAACUCCGUGCCAGCAGCCGCGGUAAUACGGGGGAUGCGAGCGUUAUCCGGAUUUAUUGGGUUUACAGGGUGCGUAGGCGGAAUAUCAAGUCAGCGGGAAAUAUUCGGGGUUCAACCCCGUCGUGCCGUUGAAACUGAUGUUCUUGAGUGGGCGAGAAGAAUGCGGAAUGCGUGGUGUAGCGGUGAAAUGCAUAGAUAUCACGCAGAACUCCGGUUGCGAAGGCAGCAUGCUGGCGUCCAACUGACGCUGAAGCGCGAAAGCGUGGGGAUCGAACAGGAUUAGAUACCCGGGUAGUC
This 460-nucleotide ribosomal RNA is filed under the name uncultured bacterium. Its description in RNAcentral is "partial 16S ribosomal RNA". It matches the Rfam family "Bacterial small subunit ribosomal RNA", at positions 338 to 795 of the family's 1533-position model. The record is from RNAcentral.